This 2541-nucleotide ribosomal RNA is filed under the name Triticum aestivum (bread wheat). Its description in RNAcentral is "partial small subunit ribosomal RNA". Lineage: Eukaryota; Viridiplantae; Streptophyta; Magnoliopsida; Poales; Poaceae. The record is from RNAcentral.
AUGCAAGUGUCAGAACAUGGUGUCAAGACCAGCAAACGCGUUCAUGUUAGUGUUGUCCCUCGUCUUCCCAAGAAGCCCAAGAUUGCGGAAACAAUUUCAGAUUUCAGGAUCUAUGUCCAGGAGGCUAUUGAACGGUAUGACAGAUAUAAUCUCCAUUGUUGCAGCAACUUGAGGAGACGUACAUUCUUGUCCACUGGCCAUAUGCUUCCAAUGCACUAUGAAGAAACCAAUGAUCACGUUGUAAUUGAUGGCCGGAUGAAUGAGUUUAUCGACUCACUGGUGGCAGAUCAGCAGCAGCUCAAGGUGGUAUCUGUCCUUGGAUUUGGAUGUCUGGGUAAAACUACACUUGCCAAAGUGUUGUACAACAGAAUUGGGAUGCAAUUUGAUUGCAGAGCUUUCAUUCGAGUGUCCAAAAAGCCGGAUAUGCAGAUACUUUUCUGCGACUUGUUCUCGCAACUCCACCAGAAGAAGCGGCCAAUACAUGCCAAUUCUAAUGAGCUUGGCAUCAGCGACAUUAAUAUCAGCAAACAUCUGCAAGAUAAAAGGUACCUAAUUAUUAUUGAUGAUUUGUGGGACGCAUCAGCAUGGGAUAUUAUCAAAUAUGCUUUUCCAAAUGGAAACCGUGGCAGCAGAAUAAUAAUAACUACACAGAUUGAAGAUGUUGCAUUAACAUGUUGCUGUGAUCACUCAGAACAUGUUUUCAUGAUGAAACCUCUUGAUGACGAUCACUCAAGAAAGCUGUUCUUUAACAGACUUUUUGGUUCUGGAAGUGACUGCCCUGAAGAAUUUAAACAAGUUUCAAAUGAAAUUGUUGAUGUAUGUGGUGGUUUGCCGCUAGCUAUGAUCAACAUAGCUAGUCAUUUGGCAAAUCAACAGACAGCAGUAUCACUGGAUUUUCUGACAUACAUACGUGAUUCGUUGAGGUCACAAUCGUGGUCAAGUUCUACUUCGGAAAGAACAAGACAAGUACUGAACCUCAGCUACAAUAAUCUUCCUCAUCAUCUGAAGACAUGUUUGUUGUAUCUUCAUAUGUAUCCAGAGGGCUCCAUAGUCUGGAAGGAUGAUCUGGUGAAGCAAUGGGUGGCUGAAGCCUUCAUCAAUACACGAAAAGGGAAAGAAAAAGAUCAAAACUGGAUGGAGAAAGCUGCAGGAAUCUAUUUCGAUGAACUUAUUGAUAGAAGAUUCAUCCAACCUCUAAAUAUCAACUACAACAAUAAGGUGUUGUCCUGUACUGUUCAUGAAGUGGUACGUGAUCUUCUUGCACACAAGUCUGCAGAAGAGAAUUUCAUUGUGGUAGUAGAUUAUAAUCGAAAGAAUAUAUCACUUUCUCAUAAGGCCCGUCGGCUAUCUCUCCUCUUUGCCACUGCAAGGUAUGCCAAGACACCAGUAAACAUCACAAAGCCGCAAGUUCGGUCACUUAAUUUUGUUGGAUUGUUCGAGUGCAUGCCUUGUAUUGGAGAGUUCAAGGUUCUCCGUGUUCUGAACCUUCAACUAUCCGGUCAUUGUGGCGACCAUGACCCCAUAGACCUCACUGGGAUUUCAGAACUGUUUCAGUUGAGAUAUUUGAAGAUUACAAGUGAUGUGUGCAUAAAACUACCAAACCAAAUGCGAAAGCUGCAAUGUUUGGAAACGCUGGAUAUUAUAGAUGCACCAAGAGUCACUGCUAUCCCAUGGGAUAUUAUAUAUCUCCCACACUUGUUGCACCUAACCCUUCCUGUUGACACAAAUCUGCUGGAUUGGAUUGGCAGCAUGACUGACUCCAUCAUCAGUCUGUGGAGCCUUGGCAACCUGAACUACCUGCAAGAUCUUUAUCUUACCAUUUCUUCUACACAUCCUUCUGGCCAUCCAGAGAAAAACAUGGAAGCUCUGGGUUCUUUACUAGGAGGACAUGGCAACCUGAAAAUUAUAGUAGUGUCUCAUGGCCCAUCGGUUAAAGGUGCCUCAAAAGUAAUCAUUUCCUGGGAUGAGUUGGAACCUCUCCCACUUCUCCAGAGAUUUGAAUGCUCACCGCACAGCUGCGUCAUAUUUUCCCGAAUUCCUAAGUGGGUUAAAAAACUUGGUAACUUGUGCAUUCUGAAGAUUGCAGUGGUGGAACUGCAGAUGAGUUGUGUUGAUAUUCUCAGAGGAUUGCCUGCCCUUACUGCUCUGUCGCUGUAUGUGCGGUGCGCGCCUGCUCAAAGGAUCCUCUUUGACAAGAUGGCCGGGUUCUCAGUUCUCAAGUACUUCAAGUUGAGGUUCACGAGUGGUAUCCCAUGGCUGAAAUUUGAGGCGGAUGCAAUGCCUAAUCUCUGGAAGCUGAAGCUGGGUUUCAAUGCAAUCCCCCGAAUGGACCAACAUCAACUAAUCCGCAUCGAGCAUAUGCCAGACCUUAAAGAGAUCUCUGUAAAAUUUGGGGGUAUAGCUGCUCUUAUAGAGUAUGCCGUGAAGACGGUCAUUAGUAAUCAUCUGAGAAAUCCUAGAGUCCAUGUGUGUUUGGUGACUUCUACUUCCUAUGGUGAUGAAAGCACAAAAGAGAAACCUCCCACCAACUCGGCGGUCGAG